This 252-nucleotide ribosomal RNA is filed under the name uncultured bacterium. Its description in RNAcentral is "partial 16S ribosomal RNA". It matches the Rfam family "Bacterial small subunit ribosomal RNA", at positions 524 to 776 of the family's 1533-position model. The record is from RNAcentral.
UACGUAGGGACCAAGCGUUGUUCGGAUUUACUGGGCGUAAAGGGCGCGUAGGCGGCGCGGUAAGUCACUUGUGAAAUCUCUGAGCUUAACUCAGAACGGCCAAGUGAUACUGCAGUGCUAGAGUGUGGAAGGGCAAUCGGAAUUCUUGGUGUAGCGGUGAAAUGCGUAGAUAUCGAGAGGAACACCUGCGGCGAAGGCGGGUAGCUGGGCCGACACGUGACGCUGAGGCGCGAAGCCAGGGGAGCGAACGGG